AUACGGAGGAUGCGAGCGUUAUCCGGAUUUAUUGGGUUUAAAGGGAGCGUAGGCGGGAGCUUAAGUCAGCGGUUAAAUGGUGCGGCUCAACCGUGCCCUGCCGUUGAAACUGGGUUUCUUGAGAGUGCAAGAGGCGGAUGGAAUUCAUGGUGUAGCGGUGAAAUGCUUAGAUAUCAUGAAGAACUCCGAUUGCGAAGGCAGUCCGCUGGGGCACGUCUGACGCUGAUGCUCGAAGGUGCGGGAAUCAAACAGGAGUAGAUACCCUGGUAGUCCGCACGGUAAACGAUGAUUACCCGCUGUCGGCGGUAGACAGUCGGCGGCCAAGCGAAAGCGAUAAGUAAUCCACCUGGGGAGUACGCCGGCAACGGUGAAACUCAAAGGAAUUGACGGGG
Molecule: ribosomal RNA, 392 nt
Filed under: uncultured bacterium
Lineage: Bacteria
Description: partial 16S ribosomal RNA
Rfam family: Bacterial small subunit ribosomal RNA
Source: RNAcentral